Molecule: ribosomal RNA, 253 nt
Filed under: uncultured bacterium
Lineage: Bacteria
Description: partial 16S ribosomal RNA
Rfam family: Bacterial small subunit ribosomal RNA
Source: RNAcentral
UACAGAGACUGCAAGCGUUAUUCGGAUUCACUGGGCGUAAAGGGCGCGCAGGCGGCUAUCCAAGUCAGGCGUGAAAGCCCCGGGCUUAACCUGGGAGGUGCGUCUGGGACUGGGUGGCUAGAGUUCGGGAGAGGAGAGUGGAAUCCCCAGUGUAGAGGUGAAAUUCGUAGAUAUUGGGAAGAACACCGGUGGCGAAGGCGGCUCUCUGGACCGAGACUGACGCUGAGGCGCGAAAGCGUGGGGAGCAAACAGG